This 409-nucleotide long non-coding RNA is filed under the name Capsicum annuum. RNAcentral describes it as "long non-coding RNA (CANN_LNC008137)". The record is from RNAcentral. Lineage: Eukaryota; Viridiplantae; Streptophyta; Magnoliopsida; Solanales; Solanaceae.
UUUUCCAAUGGCAAUAUCUGUUCACCGAUGAUGGCCAGAUCCAAUAGGACUUGAACCUACGCGGCUGGUGGGUAUAUUUUACCAGUCAGUAAUAGUUCGCAGCGGCUGAUGGCGAGGGAAAAGGGAAAAGGAGGUCCGCGUCGGUGGGUUUUCACCAUUUUCUGGCAAAGAGGGUCGCCGAAAUGGCGAUGGGACGGACUGAUUUUUGGUGGUUUUGGUGAUUUCCAAUGAUUUAGUUCACUGGUGGAGAGAGUCUAUUGAUUUUGGUUGGGUUUUUGCUGGACCUAACUGGAUUCCGGCAACAGAUAUACCAGCGGUUUCGCUGGUUUUUGAGUCGCCUGCGAAAAAUAGUAUUUUGGAUAAGAUUUUGUCAGACACUGUUCUCUCAUCGUUUCUCUCUUAAUCUUUC